AAGAGCUCGUAGGUGGUUCCGUAAGUCGCGAAGUCAAAUCUCUGGGCUCAACCCAGAAUCGCUUCCGAUACUGCGGUGACUGGAGUCCGGUAGGGGAGCGUGGAAUUCCUGGUGUAGCGGUGAAAUGCGCAGAUAUCAGGAGGAACACCAACAGCGAAGGCAGCGCUCUGGGCCGGUACUGACACUGAGGAGCGAAAGCGUGGGGAGCGAACAGGAUUAGAUACCCUUGU
Molecule: ribosomal RNA, 230 nt
Filed under: uncultured bacterium
Lineage: Bacteria
Description: partial 16S ribosomal RNA
Rfam family: Bacterial small subunit ribosomal RNA
Source: RNAcentral